This 23-nucleotide non-coding RNA is filed under the name Arabidopsis thaliana (thale cress). The record is from RNAcentral. Lineage: Eukaryota; Viridiplantae; Streptophyta; Magnoliopsida; Brassicales; Brassicaceae.
UACAAUUUUUGUAUGUCCGCCUA